RNAcentral lists this ribosomal RNA (495 nucleotides) under uncultured bacterium. RNAcentral describes it as "partial 16S ribosomal RNA". It matches the Rfam family "Bacterial small subunit ribosomal RNA", at positions 28 to 507 of the family's 1533-position model. The record is from RNAcentral.
GAUGAACGCUGGCGGCGUGCCUAAUACAUGCAAGUAGAACGCUGAAGGAGGAGCUUGCUCUUCUGGAUGAGUUGCGAACGGGUGAGUAACGCGUAGGUAACCUGCCUGGUAGCGGGGGAUAACUAUUGGAAACGAUAGCUAAUACCGCAUGACAACAGUUAUUGCAUGAUAACUGUUUAAAAGGGGCAACUGCUCCACUACCAGAUGGACCUGCGUUGUAUUAGCUAGUUGGUGAGGUAACGGCUCACCAAGGCGACGAUACAUAGCGGACCUGAGAGGGGGAUCGGCCCCACUGGGACUGAGACACGGCCCAGACUCCUACGGGAGGCAGCAGUAGGGAAUCUUCGGCAAUGGACGGAAGUCUGACCGAGCAACGCCGCGUGAGUGAAGAAGGUUUUCGGAUCGUAAAGCUCUGUUGUAAGAGAAGAACGAGUGUGAGAGUGGAAAGUUCACACUGUGACGGUAUCUUACCAGAAAGGGGCGGCUAACUACGUG